Molecule: non-coding RNA, 27 nt
Filed under: Mus musculus (house mouse)
Lineage: Eukaryota; Metazoa; Chordata; Mammalia; Rodentia; Muridae
Source: RNAcentral
UUCCUGUUCAUGAACAAGUAGAGGCCC